This 436-nucleotide ribosomal RNA is filed under the name Goniomonas pacifica. Its description in RNAcentral is "partial Bacterial small subunit ribosomal RNA". It matches the Rfam family "Bacterial small subunit ribosomal RNA", at positions 340 to 793 of the family's 1533-position model. The record is from RNAcentral. Lineage: Eukaryota; Cryptophyceae; Goniomonadida; Goniomonadaceae.
UACGGGAGGCAGCAGUGGGGAAUAUUGGACAAUGGGGGAAACCCUGAUCCAGCAAUGCCGCGUGAGUGAAGAAGGCCCUAGGGUUGUAAAACUCUUUCACUGAUGAAGAUGAUGACGGUAAUCAGAGAAGAAGCCCCGGCUAACUCCGUGCCAGCAGCCGCGGUAAUACGGAGGGGGCUAGCGUUGUUCGGAUUUACUGGGCGUAAAGCGCACGUAGGCGGACUUUUAAGUCAGAUGUGAAAUCCCGGGGCUCAACCUCGGAACUGCAUUUGAAACUGGAAGUCUAGAGACCAGGAGAGGUUAGCGGAAUACCGAGUGUAGAGGUGAAAUUCGUAGAUAUUCGGUGGAACACCAGUGGCGAAGGCGGCUAACUGGACUGGUACUGACGCUGAGGUGCGAAAGUGUGGGGAGCAAACAGGAUUAGAUACCCUGGUAG